GUGGGGAAUAUUGGACAAUGGGCGAAAGCCUGAUCCAGCCAUGCCGCGUGUGUGAAGAAGGCCUUUUGGUUGUAAAGCACUUUAAGCGAGGAGGAGGCUACCGAGAUUAAUACUCUUGGAUAGUGGACGUUACUCGCAGAAUAAGCACCGGCUAACUCUGUGCCAGCAGCCGCGGUAAUACAGAGGGUGCGAGCGUUAAUCGGAUUUACUGGGCGUAAAGCGUGAGUAGGCGGCUUUUUAAGUCGGAUGUGAAAUCCCUGAGCUUAACUUAGGAAUUGCAUUCGAUACUGGGAAGCUAGAGUAUGGGAGAGGAUGGUAGAAUUCCAGGUGUAGCGGUGAAAUGCGUAGAGAUCUGGAGGAAUACCGAUGGCGAAGGCAGCCAUCUGGCCUAAUACUGACGCUGAGGUACGAAAGCAUGGGGAGCAAACAGGAUUAGAUACCCGGGUAGUCC
This 451-nucleotide ribosomal RNA is filed under the name uncultured bacterium. Its description in RNAcentral is "bacterial SSU rRNA". It matches the Rfam family "Bacterial small subunit ribosomal RNA", at positions 354 to 796 of the family's 1533-position model. The record is from RNAcentral.